This 317-nucleotide ribosomal RNA is filed under the name uncultured fungus. RNAcentral describes it as "eukaryotic LSU rRNA". The stretch from base 1 to 72 matches the Rfam family "5.8S ribosomal RNA", at positions 83 to 154 of the family's 154-position model. The record is from RNAcentral. Lineage: Eukaryota; Fungi.
AGUGAAUCAUCGAAUCUUUGAACGCACCUUGCGCCCUUUGGUAUUCCGAAGGGCACACCUGUUUGAGUGUCGUGAAAUUCUCAACCCUCUUCACUUUUGUGAACGUAGUGGAUUGGACUUGGGAGGCUUUGCCGGGCUUCACCGCUCGGCUCCUCUCAAAUGCAUUAGUGCGUCUUGUUGCGACGUGCGCCUCGGUGUGAUAAUUAUCUACGCUGUGGUGUGCUUGCUUCUGUGGAGACGCGCUUUCUAACCGUCCGAAAGGACAGCUUUCAUCGAACUUUGACCUCAAAUCAGGUGGGACUACCCGCUGAACUUAA